UAAAUAAAAGGAAAAAUUGAAUUUCAGUAUCAAUUGCACAAUUUGCAUUGCUUGAUCGUCUCUGAACUUUCGACAAGCUCGAUUUGAUGGCAUUCUAGUUCAACAAUUAUAAGCUUGUAUUGCAGAGGUAAAACCUUCACCACUUGCUGCUUUGCUGAUUCUGGAGAAACUUUUUGUUAAAAGUUUGAUUCAGAAUCGAAUUCACCCUCCAAAUCCCGAGAACCAUGGAUUAUGUACAGAAAGCAGGUGCCCUGCACAUCUUUUGCAAUCACUGGUUGCUGGGCAAGUAGAAUUGCAAUUGACAUAAUAGUUUGGAGCAGAAUUCUACAAAACUGAUGAUCUCAAGUUCUCAAGAAUUGAUCAAAUGCCCCCUGCUUCCCACCUCGGCUCUCUUAAUGUCAUAUUGAGCCAAAUGAAAUGUUACAUUCUGAAGCAUGUUGUAUGUGAAAGUUAAAAAUGCUUACCUCCAGCUAAUGGUUUUGAAGACUUUGAGCUAUGAGAAGCAGCCAUUCGCUCCUUCCUUAAACGGAGAUCAUCCAACAGCUUCUGUGCAAAAUCUGAUCUUUUUGCCAUGUUUUCCACUCUGUAAGAGUGAAGUUCCUAUAUCAAAACACUUCUUCAGCUAUAAAUCUUUUACAUUGUGUUUGGUCUAUCUCUUUUGCAGAAAUAAAAAGAUGAGGAUGUCUCUGUGUUCCUCUAUGGUUGGAAGGGUUCUUUCAGAGUUGGGUGAGGUCACCUUGGCAAACCCGCGAAAACCGAGAAGACACUUCGUGACGUCAAUUCGACCAAUUCACCAAGAUCGAUCUAACUCGAGAAGACACUUCGUAACGUCAGUCUGACCAUCUGAUAGGUCACCAAGAUUCGACCAUCUUAUACGUUACCAAGAUCGAGACCUAACUAGUCUUGAACGUAAUCAAAUAGUUCUCAUUAAUUAAUAUAUAUUACGUUUCAAAAUCCUUUUUGUCCUAGAUUUUUUUUUUGUAAUAUUGUUGAGAAAUAUGUUUCAUAUUGGAAUCGAAU
This is a long non-coding RNA of Tripterygium wilfordii, 1020 nucleotides long. RefSeq lists it as uncharacterized. Lineage: Eukaryota; Viridiplantae; Streptophyta; Magnoliopsida; Celastrales; Celastraceae. The record is from RefSeq and is a predicted model, not a curated record. The transcript is spliced from 4 exons.